This 253-nucleotide ribosomal RNA is filed under the name uncultured bacterium. Its description in RNAcentral is "partial 16S ribosomal RNA". It matches the Rfam family "Bacterial small subunit ribosomal RNA", at positions 524 to 776 of the family's 1533-position model. The record is from RNAcentral.
UACGUAGGAGGCGAGCGUUGUCCGGAGUUACUGGGCGUAAAGGGUGCGCAGGUGGCCGUGCGCGUGGGGAGUGAAAUCGCCUGGCUUAACUGGGCGGGGGCUUUCCAGACGGCGCGGCUUGAGCCACAGAGGGGGGCGUGGAAUUCCGGGUGGAGCGGUGAAAUGCGUAGAUAUCGUUUGGAACGCCAAUGGUGAAAACAGGUAACUGGGGCUGUGCCGACGCUGAGACACGAAAGCCAGGGGAGCGAACGGG